Molecule: transfer RNA, 90 nt
Filed under: Bacillota bacterium
Lineage: Bacteria; Bacillati; Bacillota
Description: Firmicutes bacterium (anaerobic digester metagenome) tRNA-Ser
Rfam family: tRNA
About the family: Transfer RNA (tRNA) molecules are approximately 80 nucleotides in length. Their secondary structure includes four short double-helical elements and three loops (D, anti-codon, and T loops).
Source: RNAcentral
GGAGAGGUGCUGGAGUGGACGAACAGGCUGCACUGGAAAUGCAGUGUAGGGGUGACUCUACCGUGGGUUCGAAUCCCACCCUCUCCGCCA